RNAcentral lists this long non-coding RNA (222 nucleotides) under Salvia miltiorrhiza (redroot sage). Its description in RNAcentral is "long non-coding RNA (SMIL_LNC003572)". Lineage: Eukaryota; Viridiplantae; Streptophyta; Magnoliopsida; Lamiales; Lamiaceae. The record is from RNAcentral.
UGAGACAUGUGUACGAAAGAUGGAGCGCAUUUUCAGCUUUUUCGCUGCAAUGACCAAGAGCGCCUAACUUGCGUGCCCUUUUUAGCUGACUGGGUCAGCUGAUUUCUGGUGGGAAGCAAGGAUGAAAACGAUGUCAGCAGAGCAGUUAGAAAACCUAACUUGGGAACAAUUCAAAGCCGGUAUAUAUGACAAGUAUAUACCCAAGAGCUACCGCAAGAAAAA